UGGUAGGCAUCUACCGGUUGGGAAAGGUGCAACUGCACCGCAGAUGGAGGAGCCCGCGGCGCAUUAGCUAGUUGGUGGGGUAACGGCCUACCAAGGCGACGAUGCGUAGCCGACCUGAGAGGGUGGACGGCCACACUGGGACUGAGACACGGCCCAGACUCCUACGGGAGGCAGCAGUAGGGAAUCUUCCGCAAUGGGCGCAAGCCUGACGGAGCAACGCCGCGUGAGCGAAGAAGGCCUUCGGGUUGUAAAGCUCAGUCACUCGGGAAGAGCGGACGAGGGAGUGGAAAGCCCUCGCCGAGACGGUACCGAGAGAGGAAGCCCCGGCUAACUACGUG
This 338-nucleotide ribosomal RNA is filed under the name uncultured bacterium. RNAcentral describes it as "bacterial SSU rRNA". It matches the Rfam family "Bacterial small subunit ribosomal RNA", at positions 182 to 507 of the family's 1533-position model. The record is from RNAcentral.